This 468-nucleotide ribosomal RNA is filed under the name uncultured bacterium. RNAcentral describes it as "partial 16S ribosomal RNA". It matches the Rfam family "Bacterial small subunit ribosomal RNA", at positions 28 to 507 of the family's 1533-position model. The record is from RNAcentral.
GACGAACGCUGGCGGCGUGCCUAACACAUGCAAGUCGAACGGAAAGGCCCUGCUUUUGUGGGGUGCUCGAGUGGCGAACGGGGGAGUAACACGUGAGUAACCUGUACCUGACUGUGGGAGAUCUUCAGGAAACUGGGGCUAAUACCGGAUAGGAGCUAUUGCUGCAUGGUGGGCGAUGGAAAGAUUCGGCGGUUGGGGCUGGACUCGCGGCUUAUGAGCUUGGUGGGGGGGUAGUGGCUUACCAGGGUUUGGACGGGUAGCAGGCCUGAGAGGGGGGCCGGCCCCACUAGGCCUGAGAUACGCCGCAGUCGCCAAUGGGACGCAGGGGUGGAGAGUAUUACACAGUGGGCCGACGCCUGAUGUGACAACGCCGCGUGCGGGAUGACGGCCUUCGGGUUGUAAACCGAUUUCUCCUGUGCCGAGGCGUUAGUGACGGUACUGGGUAAAGAAGCACCGGCUAACUACGUG